GGCUAACGCUGGCGGCGUGUCUUAGCCAUGCAAGUCGAGCGGACUUAUGGGGUAACUUAUAAGUCAGCGGCGGACGGCGGAGUAACACGUAGCUAACCUACCCUCUGGACGGGGAUAACCUACCGAAAGGUGGGCUAAUACCCGAUGUAGUCAUCCUGUAUAGGGGUGAUGAAAGGUGGGCUUCUGUUUACAAGCUCAUGCUGGAGGAGGGGGCUGCGGCCUAUCAGGUAGUUGGUAGGGUAAUAGCCUACCAAGCCGAUGACGGGUAGCCGGCCUGAGAGGGUGACCGGCCCGAGGGGCACUGAGAUACGGGUCCCACUCCUACGGGAGGCAGCAGGCUAGAAAUUUGGGCAAUGGGGGAAACCCUGACCCAGUGACGCCGCGUGCAGGAAGGAGCCCUUCGGGGUGUAAACUGCUGUCGUGUAGGGAGAAGGGUACUAAGGUGAACAAUCUUAGUACUUGACGGUACUACAGGAGGAAGACCCACGGCUAACCUCGUGCCAGCAGCCGCGGUAAGACUACGUAGA
This 527-nucleotide ribosomal RNA is filed under the name uncultured bacterium. RNAcentral's name for it is "bacterial SSU rRNA". It matches the Rfam family "Bacterial small subunit ribosomal RNA", at positions 28 to 532 of the family's 1533-position model. The record is from RNAcentral.